AGUGAACGCUGGCGGUAGGCCUAACACAUGCAAGUCGAACGGCAGCACAGUAAGAGCUUGCUCUUACGGGUGGCGAGUGGCGGACGGGUGAGGAAUACAUCGGAAUCUACUUUUUCGUGGGGGAUAACGUAGGGAAACUUACGCUAAUACCGCAUACGACCUACGGGUGAAAGCAGGGGAUCUUCGGACCUUGCGCGAUUGCAUGAGCCGAUGUCGGAUUAGCUAGUUGGCGGGGUAAAGGCCCACCAAGGCGACGAUCCGAAGCUGGUCUGAGAGGAUGAUCAGCCACACUGGAACUGAGACACGGUCCAGACUCCUACGGGAGGCAGCAGUGGGGAAUAUUGGACAAUGGGCGCAAGCCUGAUCCAGCCAUACCGCGUGGGUGAAGAAGGCCUUCGGGUUGUAAAGCCCUUUUGUUGGGAAAGAAAAGCAGCAGGUUAAUACCCCGCUGUUCUGACGGUACCCAAAGAAUAAGCACCGGCUAACUUCGUG
This 492-nucleotide ribosomal RNA is filed under the name uncultured bacterium. RNAcentral's name for it is "partial 16S ribosomal RNA". It matches the Rfam family "Bacterial small subunit ribosomal RNA", at positions 29 to 507 of the family's 1533-position model. The record is from RNAcentral.